CUUCGAGCUGUUUCUGCAAAGCUGGGGAGCGGGCUCCGUGCCCCCCUUCUCCAGUGCGUGUGGGUAGGGGGGAGGCGAGCGGCGGAAAGCGGGGGGGGGGUGUUUUUGCUGCUUCGGGAGCCUCUGGGUCUGGCCUGGACCUUUCCGGGGGCCACUGAGCGGACGCCCGGGCACCAGCCCCGCGCUGCCCGCUGGUCUGCAGGACCACAAAAGUUGGUGGCUGCGGGGACGGGCGCUGGGCGCCCCAGCCCGGGUCUCAGGGGACGCAGACCCCAGUCGGUUCCCGGGAGCAGAGCCCGCAGGACGCACGGCCGGCCGGUGCCCCGGUCUGGGGUGGGGGCAGGGGUCUGGGGAGUCGAUGGGGAUCUGUGCAGCACCCCGAUAGCCUCGGGCAACCUGGCGAGGAACCCCCAUCUCAACGCUCUCGGCCGUCCCGCGCUGCGAAUUCCCUCCCGGCCCCCGCUUUCGCGGUCCAUUGGUGCCCCCCGCUCACCCCCAACACCGCGCGGCUCGGCCUGGCCACCCCCACCCCCCGUCCCGCCCCAGUGGGCCAAGCAGGUCGUGGAGAUCCGGCCACCCGCUGCUGGAGGCGGGGGCUGGGGGGGGGGAGCACCACAAGGGGGUGGCCCCCCGGAGCGAGCCGCUGAACUUGAGUCCCGCCCCCUCCCCAAGGCCUCCGCGGCGCCCCCAGCCUGCGCCUGCACCCGCGUGGCCCGACCUGCGGAAGUGCGGGCGGGGGGUGGGGAGCGGGGGGAGGUGUCGCUCGGCCGCAGACCCUGCGGGGGCUCGGGAGUGGGGGGCGGUGGUGGCUGCGCGCGGAGGGCCCGAGGUCCCCGCCCCCGCUCCCGACCCCCGGGCCGUCCCCUCCCCCCGCCCUGCCGCGGCUCCCGCGGCCCCCGGUGGUGGUGGUGGCGGCGGCGGCGGCGGGGGGUGGCGCGCAAGCCGGGAGUCCAGGGCGCGGGUGUCUGUGCGCGCGGGGAGCGGGGCCCCGUGCGGCGCGCAGCCCUGGGCCCGGGCGCACCAUUCCGCCGCCUGCUCGCCGCCAGACGCGGCGCCCUUUCUGCCCGGGGCGGGGGCGCGCCGAGCCCCGCACCCCUCCCCCCAGGCCCGCGGGGCCCACCUGGGAGCGCGCGUCCCGCCCGGAGGGCGCGGGGCGAGGACGUCCUCCGCAGCCCUCCCGCCCCUUCCCCAGCGCCUUGCUUUUUUACAUUUAUUUAUUUUUUUAAAUUUUGGCUGACUGCUUCUUCUGAACCGACCGGCAGGUGCGGGCCUCUUUCUACUUAUUUUCCGAGGCACUGGGCUGCUGCUGAGGGGCUGGCGAGGGGAGGGGGCGCAGCAGGCAAGCGCCGGGGACCCGGGGGCGGCGGGGGCCGCGUGCGUCCAGGUUGCAGCUCCGGCCUGCGCCGGGUGAGCGCGCUGACUGGAUUAACCCCCCUGCGCCGGCGAGUUUGGGCCCGAGCGAGCACCGCGGAUCCCCAUGUCUCAUUUGCACCCAACUUAAGAAAUUUGGGGUGA
Molecule: long non-coding RNA, 1515 nt
Filed under: Felis catus (domestic cat)
Lineage: Eukaryota; Metazoa; Chordata; Mammalia; Carnivora; Felidae
Description: lncRNA (ENSFCAG00000049415.1)
Source: RNAcentral